This 362-nucleotide transfer-messenger RNA is filed under the name Bacilli. Its description in RNAcentral is "Ventrenecus sp902766135 Standard tmRNA". It matches the Rfam family "transfer-messenger RNA". Rfam says of the family: Bacterial tmRNA, also known as 10Sa RNA or SsrA, is named for its dual tRNA and mRNA-like properties. Its role is to liberate the mRNA from a stalled ribosome. The record is from RNAcentral. RNAcentral also lists the same sequence under 1 other name. Lineage: Bacteria; Bacillati; Bacillota.
GGGGCAGUAAUGGUUUCGACAGCAAUUACUGGUUUGGAUGGCAAGUAGUAGGCAUACUUUAAAUGCAAAAAUUAAAAUUAAAUGACGAAGAUUAUUCGUUCUCUUCUUUUGCUCCAGUAGCAGCCUAGUUUAAGGUAUAGGAAGGCUUUGUUAUACUUUAUCUUAUUGGGUAUAUCAGGGUUCAUUUAAAUAAGAUAUAUAAAGGAAUUGCUUCUAGUUCUUUUAUGAAUUUAAUAGAAGAUCGUUAUUAUAAUUGGUGAGUUGGAUCCGGUUAUAAUAAUUAAAUCUAAUUCCAACUAAACUUGUAGAUAUUCAGAUUAAGUGUUGUUUGGACAGGGGUUCAACUCCCCUCUGCUCCACCA